AACGGUAUCUUUUACCCCUUAGUUUGAUUGCUUAAUUCAAUGUGUGCGCUGUUGUCAAAUCUCUACCAAGACCUCAGGUAGCAAGUUAAUUUCAGUCACUCCGGUAUCGUAAAGACAUACCAGGUAACUUGCCGCUUCUUGUUUUUCCUUUGUUCAAUGAAACUAAUGCUAUUUUGUGUUGUGGAGGCCGACAUUGUUACUCGGGGAGUUACCUGUUUGUUCCUUCAAACAUGUGCUCUUACGUGAACAUGGAUAUGGUGGUGUUUACAAUCAACACGCAUCUAUCAGCGAUGUCGUCUUAAGUGUGGACUCCACUUCACUAAGUAUGCAAUUACACCUUUCCCCUGGCUAGUGGUAGACUGGUAGUGUGGCACUGGUGUUUGCUUCACAGGUCUAUUUCAUUGUUUGUGCUUCUGAGCAGUUGUGGACAUGCCAAAAACAAUGAACUGAACUUGCGAAAACACACAUCUCAUUCAGCUCCAGCACGGAAACAUACUAUUGUUUCUCCUCUCUAGAAGAUUAUAUCAAGAUAGAUGCACCACACGUCAUUGCUUAACACUGACAGAUAUUACUUGUUAUCAGGUAUUGCUCGGGGUUGCGGAUGGCAGCACCUGGGAGCCUAUGUAAACCUCGGUUCAUUCUACCUGGUUGGCAUUCCGGUAGCCCUACUUCUUGGCUUUGGUUUCAAGAUGGAAGGCAAAGGGCUUUGGCUGGGCAUCGCCUGUGGUUCCGUAUUACAAUUCUUGCUUCUCGCCGUCAUUGCAUUCUUCAGCAACUG
This 778-nucleotide long non-coding RNA is filed under the name Oryza sativa (Asian cultivated rice). Its description in RNAcentral is "long non-coding RNA (OSAT_LNC001042)". Lineage: Eukaryota; Viridiplantae; Streptophyta; Magnoliopsida; Poales; Poaceae. The record is from RNAcentral.